GAGUUUGAUCAUGGCUCAGAUUGAACGCUGGCGGCAGGCCUAACACAUGCAAGUCGAGCGGCAGCACUUCGGGUGGCGAGCGGCGGACGGGUGAGUAAAGUAUAGGAAGCUGCCCGAUAGAGGGGGAUAACCACUGGAAACGGUGGCUAAUACCGCAUAAUGUCUACGGACCAAAGUAUGGGACCUUCGGGCCAUAUGCUAUCGGAUGCGCCUAUAUGGGAUUAGCUAGUUGGUGUGGUAAUGGCGCACCAAGGCGACGAUCCCUAGCUGGUUUGAGAGGAUGAUCAGCCACACUGGGACUGAGACACGGCCCAGACUCCUACGGGAGGCAGCAGUGGGGAAUAUUGGACAAUGGGCGCAAGCCUGAUCCAGCCAUGCCGCGUGUGUGAAGAAGGCCUUCGGGUUGUAAAGCACUUUCAGCGGGGAGGAAGGGGUUGUUGUUAAUAGCAACAAUUUUUGACGUUACUCGCAGAAGAAGCACCGGCUAACUCCGUGCCAGCAGCCGCGGUAAUACGGAGG
Molecule: ribosomal RNA, 519 nt
Filed under: uncultured bacterium
Lineage: Bacteria
Description: bacterial SSU rRNA
Rfam family: Bacterial small subunit ribosomal RNA
Source: RNAcentral